RNAcentral lists this unclassified non-coding RNA (3570 nucleotides) under Hevea brasiliensis (rubber tree). The record is from RNAcentral. Lineage: Eukaryota; Viridiplantae; Streptophyta; Magnoliopsida; Malpighiales; Euphorbiaceae.
UGGAGCAAGUGAAAUGAUAGCUAAAAUUUAUUUAUUCUUCAAAAAAAACCAACACAUAUUCACAAGAUGAUGUCUCGAAACACAUGAUUACAUUGCAACAAAAAGCCUUUUACAAACUAGCUCACGCUUGUAAAUUUAAGUAUAUUUAUAUAUACCACCAAACUUUUUUGCCAACACUUGCUUAGAAAGUUCGGAUCUGGAAAGCCGAACUACUAUCAACAAACAAAACUUCAGAGGAAAAGCUUCUCAUUUUUUGUCGGAGUUGCUGUCCGGAGAUCUGGAAAUGCAAGGAUCAACAUUCAACCAGCAUCUUCACAACUUCUCUCAUGUUAGGCCGCAGGUUAGGAAGCUUGGUUGUGCAAAGGAUACCAAUCUUCAAGACUCUAAUCAUGCUCUCUUGGACAGAUUCAGAUGCAACCUUGUCGUCGAGAACCUUGCAGACAUUUUCACGGUCACUAAGACGUUUCAAAAGCCAGUACACUAUAUCUUUGCCUUCUCCAUAUUCCUCAUCAAUAGGUUUCCUACCAGUGACUAAUUCUAGCAGCACAACACCAAAACUAUAUACAUCACUCUUUUCUGUAGCUUUUAGGGUAUAUGCCAUCUCAGGGGCAAUAUAUCCAUGAGUGCCUGCAAGAAAGCUGUUAUCACACCCCUUAAAAGACAUUUCAGCAAGCUUUGCAACCCCAAAAUCAGCAAUUUUUGGCUCGUAAUCUUCAUCGAGUAAAAUGUUGCUUGAUUUUAUGUCUCUAUGAAUAAUUGGUGGAGAGCAAUCAUUGUGCAGAUAUGCAAUUCCCUUUGCAGCACCCAAAGCUAUUUUAUGCCUCUGACACCAAUUCAAUUGUGGCUCCUCAUCUUUAAUCUUUCCGUGAAGUAAAUUAAACAGAUUACCUUUAGCCAUGUAUUCAAACACCAGAAAACAUGAUCCUUCUUUGAGUAAACUAGCAUAAAGCUUUAGUAUAUUUCUAUGCCUGAUUUUCCCUAAAAUUUCCAUUUCAGCUGCUGAAAGCUUGAGAACAUCUCCUUUCCAUAGUUGCUUUACAGCCACUGUGCAACCACUUCUCUUCAAAUCCAGGCGGUAUACUUUCCCUGUACCACCUUUUCCAAUCAAAUUUUCCUCUUUUAAAUUACAUAUUUCAUCUGCUUCGAUAUCCAAUUGGUCAAAAGAUGCAAGUUUCCAUUCCGGAUCCAAGUCAUUUUUUCUGUCAACUUGCCCUUGCUUGAAGUUCUUGUAACUAACAAGCAGUAAGCCAGCUAAAGCAACAACAAAGGCAGAUAAGAUGACAGAGAGCGAUACCAGCUUAUCUCCAAAUGUUGGUUUCUGACCGUGCUUUCGGAGGCAAACAUUCAUUUUUGAAUUUGUAAUGCUCUUGGAAUUUUCAUCAAUACAAAGCUUAUCAUUCCCCAGAAAUGCUUUGUCACCACCUAUGGUCAAAAGAACUGAUGGAAUCCUUCCUGAUAAUUGGUUUCCAGAUAAAUCAAUGUCACUUAGCUUCAAUUUCUCCAAAUCUUCUGGAAUCAAACCAUUAAGUUUGUUUUGCGAAAGAUUGAGAGAGUUCAAAGAGCUCAUCAGGGAAAAAGCAUGUGGGAUAGGACCACUAAGAGAAUUCGAAGCAAGAUUCAAGUCCACCAGUCUAGCACAAUCACUCAGUUUUGAUGGUAUGGGUCCUGUCAAUGAAUUUUCUUCCAAAUGUAAGGAAGAUAACUGUUUCAAAGAACCAAAUUCGGAAGGUAUUUCACCAGAGAAGCUAUUACUCUGCAAAGAUAGCCUCUCUAGAUUCGUCAAUUUGCCAAGUUCAGAUGGAAGCUGACCCGAAAACCUGUUGUUCUGCAAAAACAACAGAUUCAACCUGGUAGACAACCCAAUUUUAGGGGAUAUCCGUCCACUGAAAUCAUUAUCACCGAAAUCAAGUAUGAUCACAAGUGGCAGAGCCCAAACCUCAUCUGGAAUCUGUCCAGACAACUUAUUCAUGCUGAUCCUGAACCUUUUUAAAGACUUACACUUGACAUAAGAAUCUGGAAACUCCCCAGAAAAACUGUUUUCCAAAGCCAGCAAGUCGUAUAAGAUUCUCUUUUCACACAAAAACUGCGGGAAACUUCCUGAAAAUCGAUUCUCAGAUAUGUCAAAGCUGGUCAAUGGUGAGAACCGGCCGAAAUUCGCUGGGAACUCCCCUGAAAAAUUGUUUUUAUAGAUUGAAAACCCAUUAAGAUGCUGCAUCUCUCCAAAACCAGCAGGUAGUUCUCCAGAGAAAUUAUUAUCAUAUAACUGAAAUACCGUCAGAUUCUUCAAAUUUCCAAUUCCCUCUGGCAGUUUCCCAUACAUCUGAUUCGAAGAUAUAUCGAUUUCCUGCAAGAGGGUGAGGUUUGCGAGUUCCGGUGGGAUCUCCCCAGUCAAAUUGUUCAUAUAGAGCUCAAUCUUCUUAAGCUUUUGCAAUUUGCAAAUUGAUUUUGGGAAUUUCCCUGUGAUCUUAUUACUCGAAAUGUCAAAAGUUUCAAGCUUCCAUAGUCCAAAAAUGGACUCUGGAAUCUCUCCUCUCAAAUGGCUAUACCCCAGAAACAGAUAUCUCAGGUUCUUCAAAUUUCCAAUACUCUCUGGAAUUUCACCCUCAUCAUAUUCAUUUUGCCCUAUAGAAAGCGUAACCAGUGCAGUUAAAUUUCCUACCCAGGUCGGAAAUCUGCCGGAGAAGUAGUUUGACGACAAUUCAAGAAUCUCCAAGUUUCUCAAGGGAGUAAGAUCAGGUAAGACUCCCACCAUUUUAUUUCCAGUUAGAUUCAAUACCCUAAGACGGCUGCAAUUAAUAAGCUCAAGAGGAAGCUUCCCAGAGAUAGAAUUGGAAGGCAACCAAAGGGUAGUCAUGCUCUCAAGGGCUGAAAUGGAUGCUGAAAUCUCACCAGAGAGAGACUUGUUGUCAAGUGAGAUUUCAGUCACUUUCCCAGAUGUAGUAUCACAGGCAAUCCCAGAAAACUUGCAUGGAGACUCCAAUUCUUUCCAAGAAUCCAAAACAUUCAAAGGGUCUUUGAGCUGCUUUUUGAAUUCAAGCAAGGCCCGUGUCUCAACGUUCAAACCAAAAGAAAGCGGGAAAGCUGAGAAGAACAGGAAGGAAAGAAACGAAAGAAAUUGAAGGGAAAGAAAAAAGUUUCUGGCCAUUGUGAAAUAGAAACAGAAAUUUAAAAAGAGAGCUUUCUAGAGUGCUUCUUCAAUUAUCGCCAUUAUUGCAUCCUGAACAGACGGUGCUUUUGAGAAUUGGAAUCUGAAUUUCUUGAUUUCCAUGCAUGUUUUGCAGCUCAGAAAUGAAAAUCUCGUGAUGAAUAGAAAAGGGCAGGUUCUUGUUCUGGUAAACGACAAUAAGAAUCAGGAACGCCUGGAGAAACGGAAAAGUUUUGCAGCUAAAGACGGUUGCUUCCCUGUGCUUUUUCCUGAGAAGAAGAAAUAGUAGGCUUCUUGGAUGCCCAGAGAUUACACUACUCAAGAAAUUCAAUGAAGAAUGGAACUUAAUGCUGAGAGAUUAAAGGCAAAUGGGUAUCUCAAGAAAAGCUGGUUUUCCUUUCCAUGAGGGGGGAGAGAGAGAGAGA